RNAcentral lists this transfer RNA (76 nucleotides) under Canibacter oris. RNAcentral's name for it is "tRNA-Ala". It matches the Rfam family "tRNA". Rfam says of the family: Transfer RNA (tRNA) molecules are approximately 80 nucleotides in length. Their secondary structure includes four short double-helical elements and three loops (D, anti-codon, and T loops). RNAcentral also lists the same sequence under 1 other name. Lineage: Bacteria; Bacillati; Actinomycetota; Actinomycetes; Micrococcales; Microbacteriaceae. The record is from RNAcentral.
GGGCCCUUAACUCAGUUGGUAGAGUGCCUGCUUUGCAAGCAGGAUGUCGGGAGUUCGAUUCUCCCAGGGUCCACCA